RNAcentral lists this ribosomal RNA (502 nucleotides) under uncultured bacterium. Its description in RNAcentral is "partial 16S ribosomal RNA". It matches the Rfam family "Bacterial small subunit ribosomal RNA", at positions 28 to 507 of the family's 1533-position model. The record is from RNAcentral.
GACGAACGCUGGCGGCGUGCUUAACACAUGCAAGUCGAACGGUGAAGGGGCCUGCUUUUGUGGGCCCUGGAUGAGUGGCGAACGGGUGAGUAACACGUGAGUAACCUGCCCCCUUCUUCUGGAUAACCGCAUGAAAGUGUGGCUAAUACGGGAUAUUCUGGGUCUGUCGCAUGAUGGGUCUGGGAAAGAUUGCGCCUUUGGGGGGUUUUGGUGGGGGAUGGGCUCGCGGCCUAUCAGCUUGUUGGUGGGGUGAUGGCCUACCAAGGCGGUGACGGGUAGCCGGCCUGAGAGGGUGGACGGUCACACUGGGACUGAGACACGGCCCAGACUCCUACGGGAGGCAGCAGUGGGGAAUAUUGCACAAGGGGCGCAAGCCUGAUGCAGCGACGCCGCGUGAGGGAUGGAGGCCUUCGGGUUGUAAACCUCUUUCGCCAGUGAAGCAGGCCUGCUCCUUGUGGGUGGGUUGACGGUAGCUGGAUAAGAAGCGCCGGCUAACUACGUG